RNAcentral lists this ribosomal RNA (253 nucleotides) under uncultured bacterium. RNAcentral describes it as "partial 16S ribosomal RNA". It matches the Rfam family "Bacterial small subunit ribosomal RNA", at positions 524 to 776 of the family's 1533-position model. The record is from RNAcentral.
UACGUAGGGGGCAAGCGUUGUCCGGAAUUAUUGGGCGUAAAGGGCUCGUAGGCGGUCUGUUGCGUCAGGAGUGAAAACUCGGGGCUUAACCCCGAGCCUGCUUCUGAUACGGGCAGACUAGAGGUAUGCAGGGGAGAACGGAAUUCCUGGUGUAGCGGUGAAAUGCGCAGAUAUCUGGAGGAACACCGGUGGCGAAGGCGGUUCUCUGGGCCUGUACUGACGCUGAGGAACGAAAGCGUGGGGAGCGAACAGG